UUCUUCAGAAGAUGCGGAAUAACGUGACAUAUUGUAUUCAGUUUUGAAUGUUUAUUUAACAUUCAAAAAAUGGGCCUAUAGCUCAGCUGGUUAGAGCGCACGCCUGAUAAGCGUGAGGUCGGUGGUUCGAGUCCACUUAGGCCCACCAUUAUUUGUACAUUGAAAACUAGAUAAGUAAGUAAAAUAUAGAUUUAACCAAGCAAAACCGAGUGAAUAAAGAGUUUUAAAUAAGCUUGAAUUCAUAAGAAAUAAUCGCUAGUGUUCGAAAGAACACUCACAAGAUUAAUAACGCGUUUAAAUCUUUUUAUAAAAGAAAACGUUUAGCAGACAAUGAGUUAAAUUAUUUUAAAGCAGAGUUUACUUAUGUAAAUGAGCAUUUAAAAUAAUGAAAACGAAGCCGUAUGUUAACGUUUGACUUA
RNAcentral lists this unclassified non-coding RNA (419 nucleotides) under Staphylococcus aureus. RNAcentral's name for it is "partial miscellaneous RNA". The stretch from base 72 to 145 matches the Rfam family "tRNA". Lineage: Bacteria; Bacillati; Bacillota; Bacilli; Caryophanales; Staphylococcaceae. The record is from RNAcentral.